RNAcentral lists this long non-coding RNA (1404 nucleotides) under Takifugu rubripes (torafugu). RNAcentral's name for it is "lncRNA (ENSTRUG00000026948.1)". The record is from RNAcentral. Lineage: Eukaryota; Metazoa; Chordata; Actinopteri; Tetraodontiformes; Tetraodontidae.
AUGACGGAAAAACGUUUACUCAAUGAAAGGAUCAGACAAAUCCAUUUUACCAUAAAUACCCUGGAAGCCAAGCUAGACAAAAGAAAGGAGGAAAUACACCUACUGCUCCCCUCUGAAGUGAUGGAAGAAAUAGCCAAACUUGUUUCCAGGAUUCAGUACACCCAACACACCAGGACCAAGGAACGUCAGAUGCGAAAAUUCACCACCCUACUGGCAAAACACAACCCCAGCGGAACCAACCCCUUCUCCAUGACAGAAAAACAGGACACAUCCCUGUCUGACGCACAACGGGAGAAAUGGGUAAAAAACCUAUCAGACAGGGAGCUUACACAAACCGAAGAGGAAGUGCUUUCCAAAGGUCUGAAUUUUUCAGUCACCCCUGAAGAGGUACCGACUGUCGAACUCAUCACAGCCACUGAGACAGCCAUCAGAAACAACAAACUCCCGGAAGCAGAAGCAGAACAGUUUAGACUUAAGGUAACAGCUGCUUUAGCUAGUGCAAAACCUCCAACCUCCAAUAUCACUAAUAAGGAAAAAAGAGCCAUUGCAUCCUUAGCCAAGGACAAGAACAUCACCAUCUUACCAGCUGACAAAGGUAGGUGCAUGGUCUUACUCAAUACCACUGACUAUGACACCAAAAUAAUCAGUCUCCUGACAGACACCGCUACAUAUGAGAAACUCAAGCGAGACCCCACCAACUCAUACAAGAAGAAUGUGGUAGACUUACUACAGAAACUGGAAAAGGAUAAAGCCAUCGACAGACCACAAUACUUCUGUCUAUAUCCAGGAGAAACCAUCCCUUGCAUAUAUGGAUUGCCCAAGAUCCACAAACCAGGGACCCCUCUCAGACCCAUAGUAAGUAGCAUCAAUUCUGUAACAUACAACAUUUCCAAAUACUUGGCCUACAUCUUGUCUCCCAUGGUUGGCAACACUCCACACCACAUCAAAAACUCCCAAGACUUUGCUCAAAAAGUCAGUGGACUCACACUACUUCCAGAAGAGACUAUGGUAUCUUAUGAUGUCACGUCACUCUUCACGUGCAUCCCCACCGCCAGUGCCAUAGACACCAUCCACAAGCACCUUCUAUUGGACAAGAAUCUUCCAGAAAGAACAACCUUAACACCGGCCCAAAUCUGCACCAUGCUGGACCUGUGUUUGAACACCACCUAUUUCCAGUACAGAGAAGGCUUCUACAGGCAGAAACAUGGCUGUGCCAUGGACUCACCAGUAUCCCCCAUAGUUGCCAAUCUAUACAUGGAGAAGGUGGAAUCCCAGGCCCUGACAUCCUUCACAGGAACUGCGCCAAAGUCACUGGUUCAGGUAUGUGGACGACACCUGGGUCAAAAUUCAAACACAAGAAUUGAAAGCGUUCUCCGAUCACCUCAACAAAAAGGACCAGCAUGA